This 440-nucleotide ribosomal RNA is filed under the name uncultured bacterium. RNAcentral describes it as "partial 16S ribosomal RNA". It matches the Rfam family "Bacterial small subunit ribosomal RNA", at positions 338 to 795 of the family's 1533-position model. The record is from RNAcentral.
CCUACGGGAGGCAGCAGUGGGGAAUAUUGCACAAUGGGGGAAACCCUGAUGCAGCGACGCCGCGUGAGUGAAGAAGUAUUUCGGUAUGUAAAGCUCUAUCAGCAGGGAAGAAAAUGACGGUACCUGAUUAAGAAGCCCCGGCUAACUACGUGCCAGCAGCCGCGGUAAUACGUAGGGGGCAAGCGUUAUCCGGAUUUACUGGGUGUAAAGGGAGCGUAGACGGGAGCACAAGUCUGGAGUGAAAUGCCCGGGGUUAACCCCGGAACUGCUUUGGAAACUGUGCAGCUAGAGUGCAGGAGAGGUAAGUGGAAGUCCUAGUGUAGCGGUGAAAUGCGUAGAUAUUAGGAGGAACACCAGUGGCGAAGGCGGCUUACUGGACUGUAACUGACGUUGAGGCUCGAAAGCGUGGGGAGCGAACAGGAUUAGAUACCCGUGUAGUC